UUGCCUCAUGCUCUUUCAGAAAUCACCAAAGCUGAGCUGCCGCCACCUGAGCUCGAAGCUGGAUUCUUCCUUUUGAGAACUUUGUUUUGGAGAAUCACCGCGGCGACCUCGUCCAUCUUGAUGAUGCUCUUCUCCACUAGAAAAGCAGUCAUCAAGGAUUCAUACGAAGGGGGGAGCGAUGCUAGCAAGACUAGCAUCCUGGUCUUC
RNAcentral lists this long non-coding RNA (207 nucleotides) under Elaeis guineensis (African oil palm). Its description in RNAcentral is "long non-coding RNA (EGUI_LNC028947)". Lineage: Eukaryota; Viridiplantae; Streptophyta; Magnoliopsida; Arecales; Arecaceae. The record is from RNAcentral.